GCGUCCAUAGCUCAGCUGGAUAGAGCGCACCCCUCCUAAGGGUGAGGCCGGUGGUUCGAAUCCACCUGGACGCGCCA
This 77-nucleotide transfer RNA is filed under the name Gammaproteobacteria bacterium. RNAcentral's name for it is "tRNA-Arg". It matches the Rfam family "tRNA". From Rfam's summary of the family: Transfer RNA (tRNA) molecules are approximately 80 nucleotides in length. Their secondary structure includes four short double-helical elements and three loops (D, anti-codon, and T loops). RNAcentral also lists the same sequence under 1 other name. The record is from RNAcentral. Lineage: Bacteria; Pseudomonadati; Pseudomonadota; Gammaproteobacteria.